This 486-nucleotide ribosomal RNA is filed under the name uncultured bacterium. RNAcentral's name for it is "bacterial SSU rRNA". It matches the Rfam family "Bacterial small subunit ribosomal RNA", at positions 30 to 504 of the family's 1533-position model. The record is from RNAcentral.
CGAACGCUGGCGGCGCGUUUUAAGCAUGCAAGUCGAACGGUAGACCGGUGCUUGCACUGGUUGAGAGUGGCGAACGGGUGAGUAACACGUAGGUGAUCUACCUCUGGAUUGGGGAUAGCCUGUGGAAACACAGGAUAAUACCGAAUACGACCCGGUAACUAUGGUUGCCGGAGGAAAGGCCCUUAGGGGUCGUCCGGAGAUGAGCCUGCGGUCCAUUAGCUAGUUGGUGUGGUAAUGGCGCACCAAGGCAACGAUGGAUAGCCGGCCUGAGAGGGUGAUCGGCCACACUGGGACUGAGACACGGCCCAGACUCCUACGGGAGGCAGCAGCUAAGAAUCUUCCGCAAUGGGCGAAAGCCUGACGGAGCGACGCCGCGUGAACGAAGAAUGUCGUGAGAUUGUAAAGUUCUUUUCCUGGGGAGGAAUAAUACUCGGAGGGAAUGCCGAGUAGAUGACGUGAACCAGGGAAUAAGCCCCGGCUAAUUCC